This 222-nucleotide ribosomal RNA is filed under the name uncultured bacterium. RNAcentral describes it as "partial 16S ribosomal RNA". It matches the Rfam family "Bacterial small subunit ribosomal RNA", at positions 109 to 334 of the family's 1533-position model. The record is from RNAcentral.
AGUAAUGUAUGGGGAUCUGCCCGAUAGAGGGGGAUAACUACUGGAAACGGUGGCUAAUACCGCAUAAUGUCUACGGACCAAAGCAGGGGCUCUUCGGACCUUGCACUAUCGGAUGAACCCAUAUGGGAUUAGCUAGUAGGUGGGGUAAAGGCUCACCUAGGCGACGAUCUCUAGCUGGUCUGAGAGGGUGAUCAGCCACACUGGGACUGAGACACGGCCCAG